RNAcentral lists this microRNA (23 nucleotides) under Drosophila melanogaster (fruit fly). RNAcentral describes it as "dme-miR-1012-3p". Lineage: Eukaryota; Metazoa; Arthropoda; Insecta; Diptera; Drosophilidae. The record is from miRBase by way of RNAcentral. RNAcentral also lists the same sequence under 1 other name.
UUAGUCAAAGAUUUUCCCCAUAG